Long non-coding RNA from Panthera uncia (snow leopard), 790 nucleotides. RefSeq lists it as uncharacterized. The record is from RefSeq and is a predicted model, not a curated record. The transcript is spliced from 4 exons. Lineage: Eukaryota; Metazoa; Chordata; Mammalia; Carnivora; Felidae.
CCUCCUUCAGCUCUCUUCAGAGCUUGGAGACGCAGUGAGCUUAGUUAGUACCUGAACACCUGGUAGUGCUUACUUUCCAGCUGCGUAAUAGUAGGAAUUUUUAUCCUAUCUAAUCAAGCCACAGCUUCUCAGAUGGUAGCUGCGUUGAAUAGAGUUGUUAGGGUAGGAGCGUGGUGUAAUGCUAAGAACCUAAUUAAAUACUAAAUUGGUCGUUUACAGAUCUCUUAAGUGGUGAGAAGGCUCUAGGGGAUCUAACGAUCACUGGACUAAAGAAAAUCCAUAUGAAGACACUCAAUUGAAGGAGUGGGUUUAAAUCCAGCAGGUGGAAUGGAAUUGCAACCAGUUGCAAAAGAAAAGAACAUUAGGAAACAGGCAGAGGGACAAUCAUGCGAAGACAAAGUUAGAAGGGAACCAUGUGCAUGACAAGCAGAGAGGCUUCAGCAGAAAUAAAACCUGCCGGUACCUCUAUCUGGAACUUCUAAUCUCUAGGAUGAUCCCAGAAGCUGGCUUUACCUAGUGGAGAUGUUUUCGGGACAACAAAGACAAGGCCAAGAGUUCCACGAAUUCAUGAAGUUCUUCCCCUAUCCACUGGCACUAUGAGGCAGCAACAGUUUUUAAAUAAUUAAACCUUGUUCUUUUUCUUCAUGUUUGUAGUGUUUCACUGAAAACUUUUUAAAUUUUAUUUUAUUUUAUUUUGAGAGAGAGAGAGCACAUGUGAGUUGAAGAGGAGCAGAAGAGGGAGGGAAGGAGGGAGGGAGGGAGAAAGAGAGAAGAGAGAAGAGAGAAAAUC